GAUGAACGCUGGCGGCGUGCUUAACACAUGCAAGUCGAACGGAACGGCCCUGCUUUUGUGCUGUGGUCCUGUUUCUAUUGUGUCUGUAAGACGUACGUGUGAGUACCUCGUCUUUAGGCUGACUUCAAGAAACUGGGGCCAAUACCAGACAGCAGCUACUGCUGCAUGAGGGCGCUUGGUCGCAUGCGGCGGUGGGGGAAGGACGGGCGGCUUAUCAGCUUGUUGGUGGGUAGUGGCUUGCCAAGGCUUUGACGGGUAGCCGGCCUGAGAGGGCGACCGGCCACAUUGGGACUGGGAUACGGCCCAGACUCCUACGGGAGGCAGCAGUGGGGAAUAUUGCACAAUGGGCGGAAGGCUGAUGCAGCAACGCCGCGUGCGGGAUGACGGGCUUCGGGUUGUAAACCGCUUUCGCCUGUGACGAAGAGUGAGUGACGGUAAUGGGUAAAGAAGCACCGGCUAACUACGUG
This 467-nucleotide ribosomal RNA is filed under the name uncultured bacterium. RNAcentral describes it as "partial 16S ribosomal RNA". It matches the Rfam family "Bacterial small subunit ribosomal RNA", at positions 28 to 507 of the family's 1533-position model. The record is from RNAcentral.